RNAcentral lists this ribosomal RNA (346 nucleotides) under uncultured bacterium. RNAcentral's name for it is "bacterial SSU rRNA". It matches the Rfam family "Bacterial small subunit ribosomal RNA", at positions 1 to 334 of the family's 1533-position model. The record is from RNAcentral.
ACAGAUCGUUCAGAGUUUGAUCCUGGCUCAGGACGAACGCUGGCGGCGUGCCUAACACAUGCAAGUCGAGCGGGGACAGUGGAGAGCUUGCUCAAAGCUGUUCGAGCGGCGGACGGGUGAGUAACGCGUGAGCAAUCUGUCCUGUACAGGGGGAUAACAGGUGGAAACAUCUGCUAAUACCGCAUGAGACCACAGAGCCGCAUGGUUCAGGGGUCAAAGGAGAAAUCCGGUACAGGGUGAGCUCGCGUCUGAUUAGCUAGUUGGUGAGGUAACGGCCCACCAAGGCGACGAUCAGUAGCCGACCUGAGAGGGUGAUCGGCCACAUUGGAACUGAGACACGGUCCAA